CGCUUUUCUUUAGUUGAUGGCUUUGAGAACAUACGUCUUUCAUAGCCUAAAUUAUAGACUUAUUAUUCUCCCCCGGUUUGAUCCGACUUGUCACUUGCGAACCUUGUCACAGCCCAGGAACCAUACCUGCAAACGUAUAUCCAAAACGCUAAUUUCGUAGCACCCCGAUUUUUCGCAAUCGCAGAGCACGGAAUAUGGCCCGACAAGCUUUAUCAGGAAACGGCCAUGAUAGCGUGUCGAAUGCGACACCAUCCGAGCCCGAACACAUGUCCGGCGCCGUGGCCAUAGGAGAAAAUCAAAAAGACGAGGACGAAGAUUAUAACUCCGAAGAGGAUUCCGAUUUUGACGUCAACGCACCCGCUGAGAGUGAUGCGGAAGAGGAAGAGGGCGGGGACGAUGGCGAUGGCGAUGGUUCAUAUGCUAUUGGCGGUCGGCCUCGGAAACGGAGGAAGUUGUCGCCUGAUCCGGAUGAUGGGGAUGCUAUUGUGGAUGCUGAGUUUGAUUCCGGUGACGAGGCUACGAUAAGAAUUGGGAAGGAGA
This 540-nucleotide small RNA is filed under the name Histoplasma capsulatum. RNAcentral describes it as "hypothetical RNA". The record is from RNAcentral. Lineage: Eukaryota; Fungi; Ascomycota; Eurotiomycetes; Onygenales; Ajellomycetaceae. RNAcentral also lists the same sequence under 1 other name.